ACCAGGACGUGCGACGGAGUCCAAGGGUCGGUAAACAAGUACCUCCAUCGCACCGCUGACUUUUCAAGUUCACGCGGCCCAAUCACGGGAGAGAACGCUGAGCGUAACAAC
This 111-nucleotide non-coding RNA is filed under the name Corynebacterium falsenii. Its description in RNAcentral is "atpB RNA". It matches the Rfam family "atpB RNA". Lineage: Bacteria; Bacillati; Actinomycetota; Actinomycetes; Mycobacteriales; Corynebacteriaceae. The record is from RNAcentral.